UACGUAGGGUGCAAGCGUUAUCCGGAAUUAUUGGGCGUAAAGAGCUCGUAGGCGGUUUUGUCGCGUCUGCUGUGAAAACUGGAGGCUCAACCUCCAGCCUGCAGUGGGUACGGGCAAACUAGAGUGCGGUAGGGGAGAUUGGAAUUCCUGGUGUAGCGGUGGAAUGCGCAGAUAUCAGGAGGAACACCAAUGGCGAAGGCAGAUCUCUGGGCCGUAACUGACGCUGAGGAGCGAAAGCAUGGGGAGCGAACAGG
RNAcentral lists this ribosomal RNA (254 nucleotides) under uncultured bacterium. RNAcentral's name for it is "partial 16S ribosomal RNA". It matches the Rfam family "Bacterial small subunit ribosomal RNA", at positions 524 to 776 of the family's 1533-position model. The record is from RNAcentral.